Long non-coding RNA from Salvia miltiorrhiza (redroot sage), 724 nucleotides. RefSeq lists it as uncharacterized. The transcript is spliced from 3 exons. Lineage: Eukaryota; Viridiplantae; Streptophyta; Magnoliopsida; Lamiales; Lamiaceae. The record is from RefSeq and is a predicted model, not a curated record.
GUUUGAUACCUUGAGUCGAUAUGUCAAUGUCCUGAUUUUAGAAGUUUCUGUGACUUUUUUAUCCACAGCAGCAGUCAGGAAAUUAUUUCUUCAGUUUAUUAUCUCUUUGAAAUGCUUACAGGGAUGUACGUGCAACAUCAUAUGCUGAUUGCCAUGGAUGGAACUAGCCGACUAGCUUCCCUGCAGUUUCUUGCUGGUAAAUCAUGCAAAUUCGGUUGCUGGCUUAAUGGUAUGUAGCAUCUCCUUAUAUGAUAGGUUGAUAUGGGCAUCAUCUUUUUGGCCACAGUAACUUGUUCCGGUCAUUGCUUCGUUCUGUUAUAUUGCUCUGCAAACUAGAACGCUGUCAUUUUCUUUGUAUGAACAUUUAGCUAGUUUUGCUUCGUGAUAGCAUCUGACAUUCUGGGCAGAACAUUUGAUGCAGAUGCACAAACAAUUCUAGCUCGCGAAGGAAAUAUUGAUUUAUCAUUUUUCCAAAGGUCAUUACAGGGGUGGAAGUCUAAAAUAGUGGAGGUCUAAUCGUUGCUUGGCUAUUGCAACCAGUGGAGGUCUAAACCAGCAAAGGACCGGGGUGGAAGUCUAAAAUAGUGGAGGUUUGUGGUGGAUUAAAUGAGUCGUACGUUGAGCUGGAGAUACUUGUGAAUUCACAAGAAAAUUGUAUCAGAUGGCUAGCUAGUUGCAUAUUUAAUAUGUUUAAUAUUUUUGUAAGGCAUAAUAGUAUAGAUAG